RNAcentral lists this ribosomal RNA (253 nucleotides) under uncultured bacterium. RNAcentral's name for it is "partial 16S ribosomal RNA". It matches the Rfam family "Bacterial small subunit ribosomal RNA", at positions 524 to 776 of the family's 1533-position model. The record is from RNAcentral.
UACGGGGGGGGCAAGCGUUGUUCGGAAUUACUGGGCGUAAAGGGCGUGUAGGCGGCCAACUAAGUCCGACGUGAAAUCCCCAGGCUUAACCUGGGAACUGCGUCGGAUACUGGAUGGCUUGAAUCCGGGAGAGGGAUGCGGAAUUCCAGGUGUAGCGGUGAAAUGCGUAGAUAUCUGGAGGAACACCGGUGGCGAAGGCGGCAUCCUGGACCGGCAUUGACGCUAAAGCGCGAAAGCCAGGGGAGCAAACCGG